This 269-nucleotide ribosomal RNA is filed under the name uncultured prokaryote. RNAcentral's name for it is "partial 16S ribosomal RNA". It matches the Rfam family "Bacterial small subunit ribosomal RNA", at positions 524 to 792 of the family's 1533-position model. The record is from RNAcentral.
UACGAAGGUGGCGAGCGUUGUUCGGUAUCACUGGGCUUAAAGGGUGCGCAGGCGGGAAGGAAAGCGUCUUGUGAAAUCCCCCGACUUAACCGGGGAAUUGCUUGGCGAACUGCCUUUCUUGAGGCAAGUAGGGGUGCAUGGAACUCUUGGUGGAGCGGUGGAAUGCGUAGAUAUCAAGAGGAACGCCAGAGGUGAAGACGGUGCACUGGGCUUGUCCUGACGCUGAGGCACGAAAGCGUGGGGAGCAAACAGGAUUAGAUACCCGCGUA